AUGCUUGCCCCUCGGUAUUUAGUUUCGCAGGCAACAAUGGUUUCUAUGGAUAUUCAAUAAAAUAUUUCCAAACAAAAACAUAUAUUAAUUUUGUUAAACUAGCAAUGGGUCGAACUUGUGUUGUUUCGGGAUGUAAAAGCAGACAAAAGGAUCCCGUGUCCUUUUUUAAAUUUCCUGAAAAUUCGAAACUGUUUAAUGCGUGGGCAGAAUUUUGCAACUCGCCGGAACUACUCGCGAAGGUGAACCACUCAAAGAAGAUUGAAAGAUAAUUCUGUACCAACGAUUUCGACUGACGUUAUAGAGAAUGGUGCGAUAGAAGCUACUAUAGAGAACUCGAAUGUUGUUGAAAAUAAGGUUCAACUUGGCUUAGACGGGAAUGCAGCGCAUUACAAUAUGUCGGAACCUAUAACCAGUAACAUCAGUAAACUACUGUUCACUGAAGGUGACCUUUUUAUCCAACUUUUGUGAUUAAUAUGAUUCUAAAAUUAU
This is a long non-coding RNA of Topomyia yanbarensis, 489 nucleotides long. RefSeq lists it as uncharacterized. NCBI's taxonomy places the organism in Eukaryota, Metazoa, Arthropoda, Insecta, Diptera, Culicidae. The transcript has 4 exons. The record is from RefSeq and is a predicted model, not a curated record.